AUGCAAUUAAAUGAUUAAUGGAUUUUAAAUAUGAUUCAUCUAGAAUUGCACAAGUCUUAAAGACUAUGAGACAGAUUAUUCUUUUCUCCCCAGAAGACUUAUGUGCUAUGCAGUGUAUUUUAAUGCUAAUACUCUGUUUUCUGAUCAGUUGAUUUAUACAAAAAAACAUGAUCUAUAAGAAAAACAGAGCUCCUUCCAAACAAGGAGACUGACUUAACAGAUGAAUUUAGCUGCCCACAACUCCUCACCAUUACAGCCUUCAAAGUACAUCUCAUUCCUGGGCACUGGUGCUUCCUCCGACAAGCCCCUCAGGCUCUCCCUCAUAGCACUGAGACCCCACAAAUUUCUCUUGCCAGGGAGACCAAUCCCCUUCUCACUCCUUAAGUAGGCCCUUCUUGGGCCCUUCUGUUGUAUACAUACGGAGUAGUCACAUAAGCUAAGCCUUAUUGGUCCAAACCUGAAAUGCUGAAACAAAACUUAGAUUCUACAUCAUUUUGGCAUCAGCAAUGCUGCUUUGAGGCCCUACCCUGUCAGUCUGCAUGAAUCCUGUUUGGCAUAUUACUCUACCACCUUAGAUAUCUGAGCCUGCAUAUUCCUUAAGAAGAUCUAUGGUUGGACUCACCUGAAAAUCAUGUUAAAAUAUUAAAGUGUAAUACAAUCAGGGGUAAAAAUGAAUUUAUAUUCAAGACCAAUGAGGAAAUAUCUGGACCAUCCAACCUUUAGUCUCCAGAUGUUGUUUAGUAAAUAGAAUGUGAAAUACUUAGUGAGUUUAACAUAUGCAUGCCUCCAGUUAAUGUUAUUUUUCAUAAUUUUCUUUCAUUUUGCUUUGUGUUGCACCCUCAGAAAAUGUUGAAAUACAUCCCCAGUACUGAGAGUUCAAGGUGUGAAUGGCAGUUAAUAAGUAAGAAUCUUGAACUUUUACACAAAUCACUCCCAUUUCUGACUGCUAAAAUACAUGGCCCAAUACUGAAUAGAGCAGUCCAAGCCAUAACAAGCCUUAGACACAAAAAGAUCAAAUUCUUGGCAGUGAAGAGUGAGCCAAUGGCAAACUUCUUUCCUGGGAAUUUACUUGGAUGUCAGUCUCCUUAAAUUUGGAUGUGAAGUGCUGGACUCAAAUCUCACUGAAGUUCACAGGAGUCUUUCCACAGAGGUUAACCCAACAUGCACAGAAGGAGACAAAACUAAGUAGUUUUGGGUUAUCAUUAUGUUUAAAGUACUGGUUAAGCUAAAAUGAAUAUAAAAACUGCCCCCAUCGAGCUGGAUUUUAUCUUUACUUCCUGUUUUGUGUCACUGUUAGGAGUUUACUGAAAAUAAAUCAUACUGGACUUGAAUAAACUGUCAGCUUUUAAUAUUUUCCAAAUGCAUGCUAUAAAAAGCUGGCAUAGAAGUUGUAGCAGAAAUGCUAAGUCAGGGCUUGAAGCAGGAAUUGAGCACCUGGUGGGAAGGCAGGGCCAACAGGGGGAGCUCAGGUGCAUGCAAUGACCCUGAGUGUUUGAAAGGGGUCCUCCCAACAUCCAUGCCUUCCCAGACCACGUUUAACUGUUGGCAGUGGAGGUAGGGCUAUCUUGUUGGAUAUCCCUGCAUACCUGAGGACUUCCAAGGAUGCAGUCAGAAGGAGAGUUGCUGUACCAGGGAUCUUUGAACUUGGUAUAUGAGGAAAAGAGACAAGCAUGCUAAACAGCUUGGCUGAUUUCAUGGAGGAAGACAGACAACUGAUGCUGAGGAAACCUGUAUAUCACUUUAUGUAGUUUAACACUACUGAAAAAUCUGUUUGGGAUUUACGUCACUUCAAAUGAAAUCAGCCACUUACAA
Coturnix japonica (Japanese quail) is the source of this 1812-nucleotide non-coding RNA. The record is from RefSeq and is a predicted model, not a curated record. Lineage: Eukaryota; Metazoa; Chordata; Aves; Galliformes; Phasianidae.